GAUGAACGCUGGCGGCGUGCCUAAUACAUGCAAGUCGAGCGAACAGACGCGGAGCUUGCUCCUCUGACGUUAGCGGCGGACGGGUGAGUAACACGUGGAUAACCUACCUAUAAGACUGGGAUAACUUCGGGAAACCGGAGCUAAUACCGGAUAAUAUAUUGAACCGCAUGGUUCAUUAGUGAAAGACGGUUUUGCUGUCACUUAUAGAUGGAUCCGCGCCGCAUUAGCUAGUUGGUAAGGUAACGGCUUACCAAGGCAACGAUGCGUAGCCGACCUGAGAGGGUGAUCGGCCACACUGGAACUGAGACACGGUCCAGACUCCUACGGGAGGCAGCAGUAGGGAAUCUUCCGCAAUGGGCGAAAGCUUGACGGAGCAACGCCGCGUGAGUGAUGAAGGUCUUCGGAUCGUAAAACUCUGUUAUUAGGGAAGAACAAAUGUGUAAGUAACUAUGCACGUCUUGACGGUACCUAAUCAGAAAGCCACGGCUAACUACGUG
Molecule: ribosomal RNA, 497 nt
Filed under: uncultured bacterium
Lineage: Bacteria
Description: partial 16S ribosomal RNA
Rfam family: Bacterial small subunit ribosomal RNA
Source: RNAcentral